GUAAACCGAGGACAGCUACUGGUUAUUUGUUAACUUAGGAAACUCCAUCCACCAUAGAGAACUAUAGUGUUGAAAAACAUAUACUGAGAAGUAUGACACUGGAGCAGAAACGACACGUCUUUUAAUGGAUGACAAUGAUGUGUAACGGAUGGACAUUAAAAGGAUCGGUGAAACGGCUAAUCUAUAGGGUGCAAGAGCAAAUGUGCUGAUGACAACUCUCGAGGCAAGGUAGUUCGCAAAGAUGAAUGCUGUUAAACAGAAGAUGGGUUAUUUCGGUAUAC
This 281-nucleotide RNase P RNA is filed under the name Candidatus Methanovirga basalitermitum. RNAcentral describes it as "RNase P RNA component". It matches the Rfam family "Archaeal RNase P". From Rfam's summary of the family: Ribonuclease P (RNase P) is a ubiquitous endoribonuclease, found in archaea, bacteria and eukarya as well as chloroplasts and mitochondria. Its best characterised activity is the generation of mature 5'-ends of tRNAs by cleaving the 5'-leader elements of precursor-tRNAs. Cellular RNase Ps are ribonucleoproteins. Lineage: Archaea; Methanobacteriati; Methanobacteriota; Methanobacteria; Methanobacteriales; Methanobacteriaceae. The record is from RNAcentral.